CUCUAAUUUUGUUUUGACAGACUGUGAAAAGAGCGUUGAGACCAUCACCACUGUACAGGAAGACACAGUCCAGUAAUGGGUGUCAGAGGUUCAGUAGUGAACGACAGAAACAAACAAUCCAAAUUACCUGCAGAACGCCCUUGAUGGAGGCUUCAGCUGCAUCGUCAGACUGGCAGCACUGAGAUAUUGACUGAGACGGGACGUGAGGGCCUACUCUGCAUGCUCAGAGUUCAAGCCCAGCAGGCUGCAGCGGGCCUGACAUAUUCCGGAACAGCAGCACAGUCUUUAGAUGACUCCUCUGAAGAUGAAAACAUGGCGAGUUCUUCUCAAGAGAAGCAGUACAGGUGUGCCUCAGCUCCACGGUCCCUCCUGCAGCCUCUGCUCCUGAUGCUAACAUCAUGUCUCCAUCACAACAAGCAGCAGACCUGGAGUGACAGACCUUUCUCCAGAGCUGCCCCCUCCCUCUGAAACCCCCCUCUCCAAAACACUAUUUGUGUCGUUUUUUAAGUCUUAUUUGCAUGAGAAUUGUUGAUCAUAACAUUUCCAGCAGAUGCCUUAAUGUAAUGU
Long non-coding RNA from Platichthys flesus (European flounder), 567 nucleotides. RefSeq lists it as uncharacterized. The record is from RefSeq and is a predicted model, not a curated record. The transcript is spliced from 4 exons. Lineage: Eukaryota; Metazoa; Chordata; Actinopteri; Pleuronectiformes; Pleuronectidae.